Molecule: ribosomal RNA, 460 nt
Filed under: uncultured bacterium
Lineage: Bacteria
Description: partial 16S ribosomal RNA
Rfam family: Bacterial small subunit ribosomal RNA
Source: RNAcentral
CCUACGGGGGGCAGCAGUGAGGAAUAUUGGUCAAUGGACGUGAGCCUGAACCAGCCAAGUAGCGUGCAGGAUGACGGCCCUACGGAUUGUAAACUGCUUUUAUACGGGAAUAACGCGCCUUACGUGUAGGUCUUUGCGUGUACCGUAUGAAUAAGGACCGGCUAAUUCCGUGCCAGCAGCCGCGGUAAUACGGAAGGUCCGGGCGUUAUCCGGAUUUAUGGGGGUUAAAGGGAGCGUAGGCCGCAUGUCAAGCGUACUGUGAAAUGUCCGGGCUCAACCCGGGCCGUGCAGCGCGAACUGGUGUGCUUGAGGCCGCGGAAAGUAGGCGGAAUUCGUGGUGUAGCGGUGAAAUGCUUAGAUAUGACGAAGAACUCCGAUUGCGAAGGCAGCUUGCUGCAGCGGAACUGACGCUGAUGCUCGAAAGCGAGGGUAUCGAACAGGAUUAGAUACCCGAGUAGUC